RNAcentral lists this long non-coding RNA (574 nucleotides) under Olea europaea subsp. europaea. The record is from RNAcentral. Lineage: Eukaryota; Viridiplantae; Streptophyta; Magnoliopsida; Lamiales; Oleaceae.
AUUCCCCCCUCUCUCUCUCUGGAUUUCGGCUCCCAAUUUCACACUCAGGUACAGAUCGUUUGCGAGACACCCCACCCUACCCCACCCAACCAACCCCCAAUCAUCGCCCAGACCCGCCGCACCAAAUCCAUCGCCAACUCACGUUCCUCUUACUCCCCAAUUUCUCCUCCAUAGAUUUAUGGGUUCUUAUAAUAAUGAUAAUCCAUUUCGCAUCUAUGCAUAAUCACGUGUUCACAUAUUGUUAGAUGUGCUUGUAGUCAGCUUUUGUUAUAACAAUUUUGGGUUUUGGCUUAUGGGUUUAGUGCAGAAAGUGAGAAUGGACGUAAAUUCCAUGUUUCAUGCGGUGGCGAUAGCAUGCACGGCGUGAAUACGUGGUGGACCUGGUGGUGGAGUUGAGUUCCUUAGGUGUAGCUGCUGCCGUUGAUUUAGGAGGUUGCUAAGAUCUAGAGUUCAGAUGUCGAAUCAGACUGUUAAGGUGAAUAGGGACACAAUUGCGGCAUGCAUGACAUGCCCUCUUUGCGAUAAGCUCUUCCGCGAUGCCACCACUAUUAUCGAAUGCCUACAUACGUGUGAG